CGGGAGCUUGAACAGGUGCUGCAUGGCUGUCGUCAGCUCGUGUCGUGAGAUGUUCGGUUAAGUCCGCUAACGAGCGCAACCCUCGCUGUGUGUUACAAGUGUCACACGGAACUGCCGGUCAUAAACCGGAGGAAGGUGGGGAGUGACGUCAAGUCAGCAUGGCCUUUACUAUCCUGGGCUACACACACGCUACAAUGGGAAGGGACAAUAGGUUGCGAAGCCGCGAGGCGGAGCCAAUCCAGCAAAACUUCCCUCAGUUCAGAUUGCAGGCUGCAACUCGCCUGCAUGAAGUUGGAGUUGCUAGUAAACGCAGGUCAGCCAUACUGCGUUGAAUACGUUCCCGGGGCUU
RNAcentral lists this ribosomal RNA (349 nucleotides) under uncultured Anaerolineaceae bacterium. Its description in RNAcentral is "bacterial SSU rRNA". It matches the Rfam family "Bacterial small subunit ribosomal RNA", at positions 1023 to 1382 of the family's 1533-position model. The record is from RNAcentral. Lineage: Bacteria; Bacillati; Chloroflexota; Anaerolineae; Anaerolineales; Anaerolineaceae.